Herpailurus yagouaroundi (jaguarundi) is the source of this 945-nucleotide long non-coding RNA. RefSeq lists it as uncharacterized. The record is from RefSeq and is a predicted model, not a curated record. The transcript is spliced from 2 exons. NCBI's taxonomy places the organism in Eukaryota, Metazoa, Chordata, Mammalia, Carnivora, Felidae.
GGGCUUUAUGCAGCUCCAGGAGCAGGUGUCACACCCAACAGUGACAUCGACACUGGCUCUGCCAAAACUGCCGAGAAGCACAAGGCUAUUUUGUAUGCAAGAGGGCCUGGUCCUUCCCAGGAUCGCCUUGCAGGCUAUACCCCAUGGACCACCCUUCACCACCAGUCAUGGGCUAUGGGCCAACUACCCCUCCUCCACCAGCUCCUCCACAUACUCUAUUUGUUAAGAUGACAUGAACUGGAUGAGUGGCUGGUAAAGUAUAUUCAUCUUCUUCAUGAUUGACUUUGUGGGAAUGAUGUAGAGAUGGCUGUGAGCCUUAGCAAUCCAACUACAAACUGCCUGAGGACACUGUAGCAUAUCUCAAGUUUCUCAGGAUAUACACACAAUGGGCAGUGUCAUGUCCCUGUAAUACGGUGAGCUAUACGUUUCUCUUGUCAAAUGAAAGAGGAUUUUUUACACAAAAGCAGACAUAUCAGCAGUACUGGUGCGUAUGUUGGAGACACAAUGUUUUGGGUUCUGUAAAGAAUGAGGCGCACCCCUAACUUUUAGAGCAUCAGGUGUCCUGUGUGAAAGAGGGACAUUCAUUAAAUGAUGCAGACUUUGUGAUCACCAUGAUGGAAACACCAGUGAAGGAUCGAGUGCAAAAACAGGGGAACCUUGAGUCAUACGGGAAUAGAAGGGAAGUUGAGCACAGUAAGCAGAGUUUGAGGGGGUGCAGAGGGGAGGGUGUUGGGGUCAGUGAGAUGCAGUUGGAGGUCAUUCCUGGCCACAGCCUGAGCAGAGAGUGUGAGGUCCACAUGGAGCUGCUAUGUGGGAUCCAAUAUGUCAGUGUGUUGCCAAAAUGCACGCAGGUAAUCAUCUAAAAAGAUUGUUGUCUCCCUGGAUUUUCCUGAAGGUUUGUGGGGGAAAAAAGCCCUGGAGAUAUGGGGAAUUUAACUUGGUCUU